ACGAUGAAGCCCACUUGUGGGUGGAUUAGUGGCGAACGGGUGAGUAACACGUGAGUAACCUGCCCUUGACUCUGGGAUAAGCCUGGGAAACUGGGUCUAAUACCGGAUAUGACCUUCCAUCGCAUGGUGGUUGGUGGAAAGCUUUUGUGGUUUUGGAUGGACUCGCGGCCUAUCAGCUUGUUGGUGGGGUAAUGGCCUACCAAGGCGACGACGGGUAGCCGGCCUGAGAGGGUGACCGGCCACACUGGGACUGAGACACGGCCCAGACUCCUACGGGAGGCAGCAGUGGGGAAUAUUGCACAAUGGGCGGAAGCCUGAUGCAGCGACGCCGCGUGAGGGAUGACGGCCUUCGGGUUGUAAACCUCUUUCAGUAGGGAAGAAGCGUAAGUGACGGUACCUGCAGAAGAAGCGCCGGCUAACUACGUGCCAGCAGCCGCGGUAAUACGUAGGGCGCAAGCGUUAUCCGGAAUUAUUGGGCGUAAAGAGCUCGUAGGCGGUUUGUCGCGUCUGCCGUGAAAGUCCGGGGCUCAACUCCGGAUCUGCGGUGGGUACGGGCAGACUAGAGUGAUGUAGGGGAGACUGGAAUUCCUGGUGUAGCGGUGAAAUGCGCAGAUAUCAGGAGGAACACCGAUGGCGAAGGCAGGUCUCUGGGCAUUAACUGACGCUGAGGAGCGAAAGCAUGUGGAGCGAACAGGAUUAGAUACCCUGGUAGUCCAUGCCGUAAACGUUGGGCACUAGGUGUGGGGGACAUUCCACGUUUUCCGCGCCGUAGCUAACGCAUUAAGUGCCCCGCCUGGGGAGUACGGCCGCAAGGCUAAAACUCACAGGAAUUGACGGGGGCCCGCACAAGCGGCGGAGCAUGCGGAUUAAUUCGAUGCAACGCGAAGAACCUUACCAAGGCUUGACAUGAACCGGACCGGGCUGGAAACAGUCUUUCUCCUUGUGGGCUGGUUUACAGGUGGUGCAUGGUUGUCGUCAGCUCGUGUCGUGAGAUGUUGGGUUAAGUCCCGCAACGAGCGCAACCCUCGUUCUAUGUUGCCAGCACGUGAUGGUGGGGACUCAUAGGAGACUGCCGGGGUCAACUCGGAGGAAGGUGGGGACGACGUCAAAUCAUCAUGCCCCUUAUGUCUGGGCU
RNAcentral lists this ribosomal RNA (1135 nucleotides) under Arthrobacter sp. Its description in RNAcentral is "bacterial SSU rRNA". It matches the Rfam family "Bacterial small subunit ribosomal RNA", at positions 66 to 1215 of the family's 1533-position model. Lineage: Bacteria; Bacillati; Actinomycetota; Actinomycetes; Micrococcales; Micrococcaceae. The record is from RNAcentral.